RNAcentral lists this transfer RNA (73 nucleotides) under Ailuropoda melanoleuca (giant panda). It matches the Rfam family "tRNA". From Rfam's summary of the family: Transfer RNA (tRNA) molecules are approximately 80 nucleotides in length. Lineage: Eukaryota; Metazoa; Chordata; Mammalia; Carnivora; Ursidae. The record is from Rfam by way of RNAcentral.
ACUUGGUUGGCUCUGUUGGUAGAGCAUGAGACUUUUGAUCUCAGGGUCAUGAGUUCGAGCCCCACAUUGGGUG